ACCACUUUCAUAAGGCUGAAAUGGAGAAAGCGAUAUCAGCAUAUAGGAUCCUUGCCUGGUUGUGAUACCAUUAAUUUUGGACCCUUUGAGAUCUUCGUCAGUUUCAAUGUGACACACGUGGAGUUGUCACUGGUCUAGAAUACUAGGAGCUACUAUCCUAACCUCGCCUUCAGUGAUGCCGUUGUGGUACUAAGGGACCAUCGUGCAGGCUACGAAAGGGCAGUUUUCCAGAAAUAAUGCUCGAACGCAGAUACAAUCAAUCCUAGCCCAAACGUCCAAGAUGUGAAACACUUAAUGGCGCUGGCAAAGAGCCCCAGUAGCCAUUUUAUUUGAUGAUCGGACGUCCUAGCAGUCUUGGUUUUUAAAGGCACAGCUCGUCUGAAAAAAUUAGAGAAUGUGGAAUGGUCAUGAUAUACUGAAUGUAAGAGGAAUGUCAUCUAAUAAUGUACUCGAGUUUUUUUGGAUAUUGAGAAUUUUUGCGGUUCAUGGGUCGCAGAUGUGAGUCGGAUGUAAUUGCAUUUAGUAAGUUUUAUUUUUUCACUUAUGACAGUGAACCAUUUUAUUUCAGUAGCUUAAGAGAAUAAGUGAAGUCCAGUAUGAUCAUUCAUAAUUCCAUUAAAAAAUCAAUUGAAUAAGAUGAAUUGUGGUUCUGUAUGAAAAAUUAGUCUGCCUCUACAGUUAUAUUUUAAAAAAAAAUUGCAUAUCCACAUGUUUUAUCCACAUUCUAAAUGCAGAUAGGUAUUGCCACCACUUAUGGCCGUCUGUGUUUCAUUUCAAUUUUAGUGAUGUAGUCGUUUUUCAAAUUUGUGCUUUUGAUGACGUGGAGUUGUUCGUCAGUAUAGCGUUUGAGAAGAUCAUAUCCAGCACACUAACUAUAUCUAACAACCCUCACAACUUUGUAAAAUCUGGCUUGAUGUAAAUUCUUUUACAUGAAGAGGUUUUACAUUGAUAGCUUGUGCAAAAUCUGUGAAAUAUUUUACGUUUGAAAAAAUACUUCAUUAUUUUUUGCACACAGUCUGCUCCUCGUGAGGGAUGACUGGGUGCACACAGUCAUCUCUCAAGAUAGAGGAUCGCACAUUACUAAUAUUAUGAUUUUCUCAAGUGUUAUGGUUGACAAAUAUAUCCAGUUCAUCACAUAUGCACCUUCUUUUCUCCGGAUCAAAAAAUUCCUAUUGAAAUUUACAUGGACGGUCAUACAGUUUAAGAUACGAAAUAUUUUGAAGCAAGCUUGCUUUAUGCUUUAUUUGUAUCAUACAGGAAGUUGCGUUUUCAUGGCAAAACUACAUUUGAGAAACUUCUAUUUUAAAACGAGUUAUAUGUCAAAGUCUAGUUUAAAUCAUUGAGUGCCCGAGUUUUAAUCAUAUAACCUGAAUCUCUGUACGUAUUUUAUACUUGGAUUUUAAUCAAGUUAUGAUGGAUGUUUUCACUUGUAAAAUGAUAGAGUCACUUUAUUUAUGAAUUUAUCCACUUGGAUAAAGUUCUCUUUUUAAUUAUGUUAUGACUGUAGUAAAUGUGUCUUGAUUGGCUGCAGUACCUCUUUCUGUAUGAAUUACUUUGGUAAAUUCUUGUACUUCGUCAUGUGACGUACCAGUAUAGUGUGGAAUAGUUUGUUGUCACGAAAGAAAGACUUAGUUCGAUCAGUCGCACCAUGCUGUUUAAAAGGGAACGAUAUUAUUGAACUGUAAAGUGCAGUGCAAAUGAAAAAAAAAACUGAUGUUAUUAUAUUAUAAAGACUGACUAUCCGGGCGUGGGCACUUUCCCGGCAUUCCCCACGAAGGGUUUAGACGGGUUUUUCCCCACGGCCCGCAAGCAGCGGGUACCAGCUUCCGACCACAAGACCAGCAUUAUCGGACUGUUUGCAUUUUGAUGUUAGAUGAUUAAAGACGGGAAAGGAAACAAUUUCAAUAGUUCUACCAUUUAUUAA
Lingula anatina is the source of this 1924-nucleotide long non-coding RNA. The record is from RefSeq and is a predicted model, not a curated record. NCBI's taxonomy places the organism in Eukaryota, Metazoa, Brachiopoda, Lingulata, Lingulida, Lingulidae.